AGAGUUCGAUCAUGGCUCAGGAUGAACGCUGGCGGCGUGCUUAACACAUGCAAGUCGAACGGACUUGGAUGUCGGAAGUUUUCGGAUGGAAGAUAUCCAGGUUAGUGGCGGACGGGUGAGUAACGCGUGGGUAACCUGCCCUGUACCGGGGGAUAACACUUAGAAAUAGGUGCUAAUACCGCAUAAGUGCACAGAGUCGCAUGACUUAGUGUAAAAAACUCCGGUGGUACAGGAUGGACCCGCGUCUGAUUAGCUAGUUGGUGAGGUAACGGCCCACCAAGGCGACGAUCAGUAGCCGGCCUGAGAGGGUGAACGGCCACAUUGGGACUGAGACACGGCCCAA
RNAcentral lists this ribosomal RNA (343 nucleotides) under uncultured bacterium. Its description in RNAcentral is "bacterial SSU rRNA". It matches the Rfam family "Bacterial small subunit ribosomal RNA", at positions 8 to 334 of the family's 1533-position model. The record is from RNAcentral.